AUUGAACGCUGGCGGCGUGCUUAACACAUGCAAGUCGAACGAAGUGGCGAACGGGUGAGUAACGCGUAAUCAACCUGCCCUUCAGAGGGGGACAACAGUUGGAAACGACUGAUAAUACCGCAUACUGAGGAAGGGGAUUGCGUCUGAUUAGCUGGUUGGAGGGGUAACGGCCAACCAAGGCGAUGAGCAGUAGCCGGUCUGAGAGGAUGAACGGCCACAGUGGGACUGGGACACGGCCCAGACUCCUAAGGGAGGGAGCAGGGGGGAAUCUUUCGCAAUGGACGGAAGUCUGACGGAGCAACGCCGCGUGAGUGAUGACGGCCUUCGGGUUGUAAAGCUCUGUUAAUCGGGACGCGGUACCGGAAUAGAAAGCCACGGCUAACUACGUGCCAGCAGCCGCGGUAAUUC
This 408-nucleotide ribosomal RNA is filed under the name uncultured bacterium. Its description in RNAcentral is "partial 16S ribosomal RNA". It matches the Rfam family "Bacterial small subunit ribosomal RNA", at positions 29 to 526 of the family's 1533-position model. The record is from RNAcentral.